Molecule: ribosomal RNA, 460 nt
Filed under: uncultured bacterium
Lineage: Bacteria
Description: partial 16S ribosomal RNA
Rfam family: Bacterial small subunit ribosomal RNA
Source: RNAcentral
CCUACGGGCGGCAGCAGUGAGGAAUAUUGGUCAAUGGACGAGAGUCUGAACCAGCCAAGUAGCGUGAAGGAUGACUGCCCUAUGGGUUGUAAACUUCUUUUAUAUGGGAAUAAAACGUUCCACGUGUGGGAUUUUGUAUGUACCAUAUGAAUAAGGAUCGGCUAACUCCGUGCCAGCAGCCGCGGUAAUACGGAGGAUCCGAGCGUUAUCCGGAUUUAUUGGGUUUAAAGGGAGCGUAGGGGGGUUGUUAAGUCAGUUGUGAAAGUUUGCGGCUCAACCGUAAAAUUGCGGUUGAAACUGGCAGUCUUGAGUACAGUAGAGGUGGGCGGAAUUCGUGGUGUAGCGGUGAAAUGCUUAGAUAUCAUGAAGAACUCCGAUUGCGAAGGCAGUUCACUGGACUGCAACUGACACUGAGGCUCGAAAGUGUGGGUAUCAAACAGGAUUAGAUACCCUUGUAGUC